Molecule: long non-coding RNA, 880 nt
Organism: Myotis myotis
Lineage: Eukaryota; Metazoa; Chordata; Mammalia; Chiroptera; Vespertilionidae
Exons: 2
Source: RefSeq, a predicted model, not a curated record
UGCUAUUGCCAUUUAGUCUGGGUGCUGUUGGGGUGCCGUGUAUGUGUGUGUGUGUGUGUGGAGGGGGGAGGUAUAUCUUGAUCUUCAAACGCCAGGUAAAAUAAUUUACGUGCUUAAAAAAAAAAUUCUUUCAGAACUUUAACCCCAACUUCUCAAGCAAAAUAAAGUCUUCCAGACGUUGUGGGAUCAGUGAGAGGUCUAUAAUAUUAUCGAGACACGAACUUUGGGAUAGACUGCACAGAGUUUGCGAGCUGGGGACUGUAUAAAUGAUGGUGCGUAUGCUUGGAAUUUGGAUGACAGGCGUCGUCAGAUCACUCACUCACUGCUGUGUUCCUGGAAUUUUUUUGAAGGAUGGGCUAUGAGGGGCUUUCCCCCACUGCCGUUAGGAACUCUUUUCCCUCUGUGAGCAUGUGCUGCGGAACCAGGUAAAAGAGGGAAUGAGCGCCUCUUUGCAGCCAACCCAGAUUAUAGCUCAUAAUUACUCCAAGUCAUGUAUGGAUACAAGUUAAUGCUGCUAUUUAUGAAUUGAGGAUUAUGGUCUUUGAUCUCAGAUCUGCUUUUGAAGAAGAAGAAAAUGCUGACUUUCCGUACGGCUGCUCUCCAUAGUCGCGGUGAUAAGAUGCUCUGCUCUGGAACAUCCGCACACUCUGCAUUUUUGACUCAAACUCAAAAGGAAUGUGCCAGAAACCAUGACCAGCCAUUGACAUGUGUGUCCAUCCAAACUUGAAGUCAAAUCACUUCUUGUCAGAAAGGCAUUUAACCAAAUUUGCAUUUGCUUUUUGUUUCUUUUAAGUGGUUUUAAGCUCUUUUGCCUGCUAUUGUGGGAGUUGCAAGAGUAACACUCAGAAUUAUAAUAAAGUACAUGUGUUUUCCUGUUGAA